GGGUGAUUAGCUCAGGUGGUAGAGCAGCUGACUCUUAAUCAGCGGGUCGUAGGUUCGAGCCCUACAUCACCCA
This 73-nucleotide transfer RNA is filed under the name Pseudorhizobium pelagicum. It matches the Rfam family "tRNA". From Rfam's summary of the family: Transfer RNA (tRNA) molecules are approximately 80 nucleotides in length. Their secondary structure includes four short double-helical elements and three loops (D, anti-codon, and T loops). Lineage: Bacteria; Pseudomonadati; Pseudomonadota; Alphaproteobacteria; Hyphomicrobiales; Rhizobiaceae. RNAcentral also lists the same sequence under 1 other name. The record is from Rfam by way of RNAcentral.